RNAcentral lists this ribosomal RNA (253 nucleotides) under uncultured bacterium. RNAcentral's name for it is "partial 16S ribosomal RNA". It matches the Rfam family "Bacterial small subunit ribosomal RNA", at positions 524 to 776 of the family's 1533-position model. The record is from RNAcentral.
UACAGAGGUCUCAAGCGUUGUUCGGAUUCAUUGGGCGUAAAGGGUGCGUAGGUGGCGCGCUAAGUCAGGUGUGAAAUUUCGGAGCUUAACUCCGAAACUGCAUUUGAUACUGGUGUGCUUGAGGACUGGAGAGGAGACUGGAAUUCAUGGUGGAGCAGUGAAAUGCGUAGAGAUCAUGAGGAAGACCAGUGGCGAAGGCGGGUCUCUGGACAGUUCCUGACACUGAGGCACGAAGGCCAGGGGAGCAAACGGG